RNAcentral lists this long non-coding RNA (206 nucleotides) under Mus musculus (house mouse). RNAcentral's name for it is "long non-coding RNA chr5:65041645-65041851". The record is from RNAcentral. Lineage: Eukaryota; Metazoa; Chordata; Mammalia; Rodentia; Muridae.
AGUGGCUUAUCCCAGGGCAAAUGAUGCCUGCAGUCUUGAAAGGGAGAAAAAUCCCUCCUUUGUUCCUGUGGUAGAAGCCACUGCGUCUGUCCCCUGUGGGCCAAGUAGAUAUCUGAAUUCUCUCAGUAGCAUUUUUGUGUGACUGUGUUUUGUUUUUUCAGCUGUAUGUCUCCUGAAACAACCAAAUAAAAACUCAAGAACAAUGU